UCCCAGUAUGAAGCAAAGCUCUUGCCUGGCUUGAUCUAUCGAAUGAAGCAGCCAAAAAUCGUGCUGCUGAUUUUUGUUUCCGGCAAGAUUGUUCUGACAAGAGCUAAGGUGAGAGAUGAGACAUUGCUUUUGAAAUUAUCUAUCCAGUUCUCGUAAAGUCAUAAAAGUCCGGCAAUGCUAAGUACAUGGUAAUUGCUAAUGGACAAGAAUAAUUAGGGUAUGUUGUUCAAGUAUGUGCCCAGUUGUUGUUGUUGUCCCCCUUUUAUUGUUUUGUUUUCUGAUUUCGAUGAUACCAUUACCUAGGACGCUCACGAGACUUCUAUAAUAUACUAUCCUUCUAUGGAAUCAAUGUGUUGAUUAAUAUUCGCUACAUAUUUAUCAUUGUUUAUUUUUCUAUCAAUGACAAAGCACAUGUACAAUCUUAUAUAUCUUUUAAGAUA
Long non-coding RNA from Zea mays, 440 nucleotides. RefSeq lists it as uncharacterized. NCBI's taxonomy places the organism in Eukaryota, Viridiplantae, Streptophyta, Magnoliopsida, Poales, Poaceae. The record is from RefSeq and is a predicted model, not a curated record. The transcript has 2 exons.